AGAAGCGCAUACGGUGGAUGCCUUGGCAGUCAGAGGCGAUGAAAGACGUGGUAGCCUGCGAAAAGCUUCGGGGAGUCGGCAAACAGACUGUGAUCCGGAGAUGUCUGAAUGGGGGAACCCAGCCAUCAUAAGAUGGUUAUCUUGUACUGAAUACAUAGGUGCAAGAGGCGAACCAGGGGAACUGAAACAUCUAAGUACCCUGAGGAAAAGAAAUCAACCGAGAUUCCCUUAGUAGUGGCGAGCGAACGGGGACCAGCCCUUAAGUUGUAUUGAGAUUAGCGGAACGUUCUGGAAAGGACGGCCAUAGUGGGUGAUAGCCCUGUACGCGAAAAUCCCUUUGCAAUGAAAUCGAGUAGGACGGGGCACGAGAAACCUUGUCUGAAUAUGGGGGGACCAUCCUCCAAGGCUAAAUACUACUGACUGACCGAUAGUGAACCAGUACCGUGAGGGAAAGGCGAAAAGAACCGCGGAGAGCGGAGUGAAAUAGAUCCUGAAACCGUAUGCGUACAAGCAGUGGGAGCCCACUUUGUUGGGUGACUGCGUACCUUUUGUAUAAUGGGUCAGCGACUUAUUUUCAGUGGCGAGCUUAACCGAAUAGGGGAGGCGUAGCGAAAGCGAGUCUUAAUAGGGCGUCUAGUCGCUGGGAAUAGACCCGAAACCGGGCGAUCUAUCCAUGGGCAGGUUGAAGGUUGGGUAACACUAACUGGAGGACCGAACCGACUACCGUUGAAAAGUUAGCGGAUGACCUGUGGAUCGGAGUGAAAGGCUAAUCAAGCUCGGAGAUAGCUGGUUCUCCUCGAAAGCUAUUUAGGUAGCGCCUCAUGUAUCACUGUAGGGGGUAGAGCACUGUUUCGGCUAGGGGGUCAUCCCGACUUACCAAACCGAUGCAAACUCCGAAUACCUACAAGUGCCGAGCAUGGGAGACACACGGCGGGUGCUAACGUCCGUCGUGAAAAGGGAAACAACCCAGACCGUCAGCUAAGGUCCCAAAGUCAUGGUUAAGUGGGAAACGAUGUGGGAAGGCUUAGACAGCUAGGAGGUUGGCUUAGAAGCAGCCACCCUUUAAAGAAAGCGUAAUAGCUCACUAGUCGAGUCGGCCUGCGCGGAAGAUGUAACGGGGCUCAAACCAUGCACCGAAGCUACGGGUAUCAUCUUAUGAUGAUGCGGUAGAGGAGCGUUCUGUAAGCCUGUGAAGGUGAGUUGAGAAGCUUGCUGGAGGUAUCAGAAGUGCGAAUGCUGACAUGAGUAACGACAAUGGGUGUGAAAAACACCCACGCCGAAAGACCAAGGUUUCCUGCGCAACGUUAAUCGACGCAGGGUUAGUCGGUCCCUAAGGCGAGGCUGAAAAGCGUAGUCGAUGGAAAACAGGUUAAUAUUCCUGUACUUCUGGUUAUUGCGAUGGAGGGACGGAGAAGGCUAGGCCAGCCUGGCGUUGGUUGUCCAGGUUUAAGGUGGUAGGCUGAGAUCUUAGGUAAAUCCGGGAUCUUAAGGCCGAGAGCUGAUGACGAGUGUUCUUUUAGAACACGAAGUGGUUGAUGCCAUGCUUCCAAGAAAAGCUUCUAAGCUUCAGGUAACCAGGAACCGUACCCCAAACCGACACAGGUGGUUGGGUAGAGAAUACCAAGGCGCUUGAGAGAACUCGGGUGAAGGAACUAGGCAAAAUGGCACCGUAACUUCGGGAGAAGGUGCGCCGGUGGAGGUGAAGCAUUUACUGCGUAAGCCCCUGCCGGUCGAAGAUACCAGGCCGCUGCGACUGUUUAUUAAAAACACAGCACUCUGCAAACACGAAAGUGGACGUAUAGGGUGUGACGCCUGCCCGGUGCCGGAAGGUUAAUUGAUGGGGUUAGCGCAAGCGAAGCUCUUGAUCGAAGCCCCGGUAAACGGCGGCCGUAACUAUAACGGUCCUAAGGUAGCGAAAUUCCUUGUCGGGUAAGUUCCGACCUGCACGAAUGGCGUAACGAUGGCGGCGCUGUCUCCACCCGAGACUCAGUGAAAUUGAAAUCGCUGUGAAGAUGCAGUGUAUCCGCGGCUAGACGGAAAGACCCCGUGAACCUUUACUAUAGCUUUGCACUGGACUUUGAAUUUGCUUGUGUAGGAUAGGUGGGAGGCUUUGAAGCGUGGACGCCAGUCUGCGUGGAGCCAACCUUGAAAUACCACCCUGGCAACUUUGAGGUUCUAACUCAGGUCCGUUAUCCGGAUCGAGGACAGUGUAUGGUGGGUAGUUUGACUGGGGCGGUCUCCUCCUAAAGAGUAACGGAGGAGUACGAAGGUGCGCUCAGACCGGUCGGAAAUCGGUCGUAGAGUAUAAAGGCAAAAGCGCGCUUGACUGCGAGACAGACACGUCGAGCAGGUACGAAAGUAGGUCUUAGUGAUCCGGUGGUUCUGUAUGGAAGGGCCAUCGCUCAACGGAUAAAAGGUACUCCGGGGAUAACAGGCUGAUACCGCCCAAGAGUUCAUAUCGACGGCGGUGUUUGGCACCUCGAUGUCGGCUCAUCACAUCCUGGGGCUGAAGCCGGUCCCAAGGGUAUGGCUGUUCGCCAUUUAAAGUGGUACGCGAGCUGGGUUUAGAACGUCGUGAGACAGUUCGGUCCCUAUCUGCCGUGGACGUUUGAGAUUUGAGAGGGGCUGCUCCUAGUACGAGAGGACCGGAGUGGACGAACCUCUGGUGUUCCGGUUGUCACGCCAGUGGCAUUGCCGGGUAGCUAUGUUCGGAAAAGAUAACCGCUGAAAGCAUCUAAGCGGGAAACUUGCCUCAAGAUGAGAUCUCACUGGAACCUUGAGUUCCCUAAAGGGCCGUCGAAGACUACGACGUUGAUAGGUUGGGUGUGUAAGCGCUGUGAGGCGUUGAGCUAACCAAUACUAAUUGCCCGUGAGGCUUGACC
This 2882-nucleotide ribosomal RNA is filed under the name Pseudomonas syringae pv. panici str. LMG 2367. RNAcentral describes it as "bacterial LSU rRNA". It matches the Rfam family "Bacterial large subunit ribosomal RNA". The record is from RNAcentral. Lineage: Bacteria; Pseudomonadati; Pseudomonadota; Gammaproteobacteria; Pseudomonadales; Pseudomonadaceae.